AACGCUAGCUACAGGCUUAACACAUGCAAGUCGAGGGGUAACGAGAGGAAAGCUUGCUUUCCUUGUCGACGACCGGCGCACGGGUGAGUAACGCGUAUCCNACCUGCCCCCAACUAGGGAAUAACCUUGCGAAAGUAAGACUAAUACCCUAUAAUUUCCUCAGAUGUCAUCUGACGAGGAAUAAAGAUUUAUCGGUUGUGGAUGGGGAUGCGUCUGAUUAGCUUGUUGGCGGGGUAACGGCCCACCAAGGCAACGAUCAGUAGGGGUUCUGAGAGGAAGGUCCCCCACAUUGGAACUGAGACACGGUCCAAACUCCUACGGGAGGCAGCAGUGAGGAAUAUUGGUCAAUGGGCGGAAGCCUGAACCAGCCAAGUAGCGUGCAGGAUGACGGCCCUAUGGGUUGUAAACUGCUUUUAUACAGGAAUAAAGUUAGCCACGUGUGGUUAUUUGUAGGUACUGUAUGAAUAAGGACCGGCUAAUUCCGUGCCAGCAGCCGCGGUAAUACGGAAGGUCCAGGCGUUAUCCGGAUUUAUUGGGUUUAAAGGGAGCGUANGCCGUCUGUUAAGCGUGUUGUGAAAUGUAGAUGCUCAACAUCUGAAUUGCAGCGCGAACUGGCAGACUUGAGUGUGCGCAACGUANGCGGAAUUCGUGGUGUAGCGGUGAAAUGCUUAGAUAUCACGAAGAACUCCNAUUG
Molecule: ribosomal RNA, 694 nt
Filed under: uncultured bacterium
Lineage: Bacteria
Description: bacterial SSU rRNA
Rfam family: Bacterial small subunit ribosomal RNA
Source: RNAcentral